UACGAAGGGGGCUAGCGUUGCUCGGAAUCACUGGGCGUAAAGCGCACGUAGGCGGCUUUCUAAGUCAGGGGUGAAAUCCCGGAGCUCAACUCCGGAACUGCCCUUGAUACUGGAAAGCUUGAGUUCGGGAGAGGUGAGUGGAACUGCGAGUGUAGAGGUGAAAUUCGUAGAUAUUCGCAAGAACACCAGUGGCGAAGGCGGCUCACUGGCCCGAUACUGACGCUGAGGUGCGAAAGCGUGGGGAGCAAACAGG
Molecule: ribosomal RNA, 253 nt
Filed under: uncultured bacterium
Lineage: Bacteria
Description: partial 16S ribosomal RNA
Rfam family: Bacterial small subunit ribosomal RNA
Source: RNAcentral